AUUGAACGCUGGCGGCAGGCCUAACACAUGCAAGUCGAGCGAGUGGCGGACGGGUGAGUAAUGUCUGGGAAACUGCCUGAUGGAGGGGGAUAACUACUGGAAACGGUAGCUAAUACCGCAUACCAUCGGAUGUGCCCAGAUGGGAUUAGCUAGUAGGUGGGGUAAAGGCUCACCUAGGCGACGAUCCCUAGCUGGUCGGAGAGGAGGACCAGCCACACGGGAACUGGGACACGGUCCAGAGUCCGACGGGAGGCAGCAGGGGGGAAUAUGGCACAAUGGGGGGAAGUCUGAUGCAGCCAUGCCGCGUGUAUGAAGAAGGCCUUCGGGUUGGAAAGUACUUUCAGCGGGGAGGCGUUACCGGCAGAAGAAGCACCGGCUAACUCCGUGCCAGCAGCCGCGGUAAUUC
This 406-nucleotide ribosomal RNA is filed under the name uncultured bacterium. Its description in RNAcentral is "partial 16S ribosomal RNA". It matches the Rfam family "Bacterial small subunit ribosomal RNA", at positions 29 to 526 of the family's 1533-position model. The record is from RNAcentral.